AGAGUUUGAUCAUGGCUCAGAUUGAACGCUGGCGGUAGGCUUAACACAUGCAAGUCGUGCGAGAAAGUAUCUUCGGAUAUGAGUAGAGCGGCGGACGGGUGAGUAACGCGUAGGAAUCUACCUAGUAGAAGGGGAUAGCCCGGGGAAACUCGGAUUAAUACCGUAUACCUCCUUCGGGAGAAAGAAGGCCUCUCUUUGAAGCUUUCGCUAUUAGAUGAGCCUGCGUAAGAUUAGCUUGUUGGUGAGGUAAAGGCUCACCAAGGCUACGAUCUUUAGCUGGUCUGAGAGGACGAUCAGCCACAUUGGGACUGAGACACGGCCCAGACUCCUACGGGAGGCAGCAGUGGGGAAUAUUGGACAAUGGGCGCAAGCCUGAUCCAGCCAUACCGCGUGUGUGAAGAAGGCCUUCGGGUUGUAAAGCACUUUAAGCAGGGAGAAAAAGCUAUAGGUUAAUACCCUAUGGCCCUGAUGUUACCUGCAGAAUAAGCACCGGCUAAUUCCGUGCCAGCAGCCGCGGUAAUACGGAAGGUGCAAGCGUUAAUCGGAAUUACUGGGCGUAAAGCGCGCGUAGGUGGUUUGUUAAGUUGGAUGUGAAAGCCCUGGGCUCAACCUAGGAACUGCAUCCAAAACUAACUCACUAGAGUACGAUAGAGGGAGGUAGAAUUUCAUAGUGUAGCGGUGGAAUGCGUAGAUAUUAUGAAGAAUACCAGUGGCGAAGGCGGCCUCCUGGAUCUGUACUGACACUGAGGUGCGAAAGCC
Molecule: ribosomal RNA, 759 nt
Filed under: uncultured marine bacterium
Lineage: Bacteria
Description: bacterial SSU rRNA
Rfam family: Bacterial small subunit ribosomal RNA
Source: RNAcentral